RNAcentral lists this ribosomal RNA (517 nucleotides) under uncultured bacterium. RNAcentral describes it as "bacterial SSU rRNA". It matches the Rfam family "Bacterial small subunit ribosomal RNA", at positions 15 to 518 of the family's 1533-position model. The record is from RNAcentral.
GAUUAUGGCUCAGGAUGAACGCUACGCGGCAGGCUUAACACAUGCAAGUCGAGGGGCAACGCGAGUAGCAAUACUUGGCGGCGACCGGCGCAAGGGUGCGUAACGCGUGAGCAACAUGCCCGUAUCAGGGGGAUUAAUCCGAGGGAAACUUUGGUCUAAUACCCCAUAGUAAUUUUUGUAAGGCAUCUUAUAAGAGUUUUAAAGCUUUUGGUGGAUACGGAUUUGGCUCGCGUGACAUUAGCUGGAUGGUAAGGUAACGGCUUACCAUGGCUAUGAUGUCUAGGGGUUCUGAGAGGAAGGUCCCCCACACUGGAACUGAGACACGGUCCAGACUCCUACGGGAGGCAGCAGUGAGGAAUAUUGGACAAUGGAUGGAAAUCUGAUCCAGCCAUGCCGCCGUGAAGGAAGAAGGUCCUAUGGAUUGUAACUUCUUUUGUAUGGGAGCAAUAAGGCCUACGAGUAGGUUGAUGAGAGUACCAUACGAAUAAGCACCGGCUAACUCCGUGCCAGCCGCCGC